GACGAACGCUGGCGGCGUGCCUAAUACAUGCAAGUCGAACGCAGUGGGGACGGGUGAGUAACACGUGGGUAACCUCCCCCUCAGAGGGGAUAACACUUUGGAACAGGUUCUAUACCGCUACUGAUGGAUGGACCCGCGGUGCAUUGGCUAGUGGGUGAGGUAACGGCUCACCAAGGCCACGAUGCAUAGCCGACCUGAGAGGGGGAUCGGCAACACUGGGAUUGAGACACGGCCCAGACUCCUACGGGAGGCAGCAGUAGGGAAUCUUCGGCAAUGGAAGAAAGUCUGACCGAGCAACGCAGCGUGAGUGAAGAAGGUUUUCGGAUCGUAAAAUUCGGGUGUGAGAGAAGCGGUAUCUAACCAGAAAGCCACGGCUAACUACGUGCCAGCCGCCGCGGUAAUAC
This 404-nucleotide ribosomal RNA is filed under the name uncultured bacterium. RNAcentral's name for it is "partial 16S ribosomal RNA". It matches the Rfam family "Bacterial small subunit ribosomal RNA", at positions 28 to 526 of the family's 1533-position model. The record is from RNAcentral.